Molecule: ribosomal RNA, 1362 nt
Filed under: uncultured bacterium
Lineage: Bacteria
Description: bacterial SSU rRNA
Rfam family: Bacterial small subunit ribosomal RNA
Source: RNAcentral
AUUGAACGCUGGCGGCAGGCCUAACACAUGCAAGUCGAACGGUAACAGGAAGAAGCUUGCUUCUUUGCUGACGAGUGGCGGACGGGUGAGUAAUGUCUGGGAAACUGCCUGAUGGAGGGGGAUAACUACUGGAAACGGUAGCUAAUACCGCAUAACGUCGCAAGACCAAAGAGGGGGACCUUCGGGCCUCUUGCCAUCGGAUGUGCCCAGAUGGGAUUAGCUAGUAGGUGGGGUAACGGCUCACCUAGGCGACGAUCCCUAGCUGGUCUGAGAGGAUGACCAGCCACACUGGAACUGAGACACGGUCCAGACUCCUACGGGAGGCAGCAGUGGGGAAUAUUGCACAAUGGGCGCAAGCCUGAUGCAGCCAUGCCGCGUGUAUGAAGAAGGCCUUCGGGUUGUAAAGUACUUUCAGCGGGGAGGAAGGGAGUAAAGUUAAUACCUUUGCUCAUUGACGUUACCCGCAGAAGAAGCACCGGCUAACUCCGUGUCAGCAGCCGCGGUAAUACGGAUGGCGCAAGCGUUAAUCCGAAUUACUGGGCGUAGGCGCACCCAGGCGGUUUGUUAAGUCAGAUGUGAAAUCCCCGGGCUCAACCUGGGAACUGCAUCUGAUACUGGCAAGCUUGAGUCUCGUAGAGGGGGGUAGAAUUCCAGGUGUAGCGGUGAAAUGCGUAGAGAUCUGGAGGAAUACCGGUGGCGAAGGCGGCCCCCUGGACGAAGACUGACGCUCAGGUGCGAAAGCGUGGGGAGCAAACAGGAUUAGAUACCCUGGUAGUCCACGCCGUAAACGAUGUCGACUUGGAGGUUGUGCCCUUGAGGCGUGGCUUCCGGAGCUAACGCGUUAAGUCGACCGCCUGGGGAGUACGGCCGCAAGGUUAAAACUCAAAUGAAUUGACGGGGGCCCGCACAAGCGGUGGAGCAUGUGGUUUAAUUCGAUGCAACGCGAAGAACCUUACCUGGUCUUGACAUCCACAGAACUUUCCAGAGAUGGAUUGGUGCCUUCGGGAACUGUGAGACAGGUGCUGCAUGGCUGUCGUCAGCUCGUGUUGUGAAAUGUUGGGUUAAGUCCCGCAACGAGCGCAACCCUUAUCUUUUGUUGCCAGCGGUCCGGCCGGGAACUCAAAGGAGACUGCCAGUGAUAAACUGGAGGAAGGUGGGGAUGACGUCAAGUCAUCAUGGCCCUUACGACCAGGGCUACACACGUGCUACAAUGGCGCAUACAAAGAGAAGCGACCUCGCGAGAGCAAGCGGACCUCAUAAAGUGCGUCGUAGUCCGGAUUGGAGUCUGCAACUCGACUCCAUGAAGUCGGAAUCGCUAGUAAUCGUGGAUCAGAAUGCCACGGUGAAUACGUUCCCGGGCCU